RNAcentral lists this ribosomal RNA (253 nucleotides) under uncultured bacterium. Its description in RNAcentral is "partial 16S ribosomal RNA". It matches the Rfam family "Bacterial small subunit ribosomal RNA", at positions 524 to 776 of the family's 1533-position model. The record is from RNAcentral.
UACGAAGGGGGCUAGCGUUGUUCGGAAUUACUGGGCGUAAAGCGCACGUAGGCGGACAUUUAAGUCAGGGGUGAAAUCCCGGGGCUCAACCCCGGAACUGCCUUUGAUACUGGGUGUCUCGAGUCCGGAAGAGGUGAGUGGAAUUCCGAGUGUAGUGGUGAAAUGCGUAGAUAUCGGGAGGAACACCAGUGGCGAAGGCGGCUUCCUGGCCUGUUCUUGACGCUGAGGCGCAAAAGCUAGGGGAGCAAACGGG